This 433-nucleotide ribosomal RNA is filed under the name uncultured bacterium. RNAcentral's name for it is "partial 16S ribosomal RNA". It matches the Rfam family "Bacterial small subunit ribosomal RNA", at positions 29 to 507 of the family's 1533-position model. The record is from RNAcentral.
AACGAACGCUGGCGGCAUGCCUAACACAUGCAAGUCGAACGAGACCUUCGGGUCUAGUGGCGCACGGGUGCGUAACGCGUGGGAACCUGCCCUUAGGUUCGGAAUAACUCCCCGAAAGGGGUGCUAAUACCGGAUAAUGUCUUCGGCCCAAAGAUUUAUCGCCUUUGGAUGGGCCCGCGUUGGAUUAGCUAGUUGGUAGGGUAAAAGCCUACCAAGGCGACGAUCCAUAGCUGGUCUGAGAGGAUGAUCAGCCACACUGGGACUGGGACACGGCCCAGACUCCUACGGGAGGCAGCAGUGGGGAAUAUUGGACAAUGGGCGAAAGCCUGAUCCAGCAAUGCCGCGUGAGUGAUGAAGGCCGUAGGGUUGUAAAGCUCUUUUACCCGGGAUGAUAAUGACAGUACCGUGAGAAUAAGCUCCGGCUAACUCCGUG